GUACACUCCUGCGGGAGGCAGCAGUGGGGAAUAUUGGACAAUGGGCGCAAGCCUGAUCCAGCCAUGCCGCGUGAGUGAUGAAGGCCCUAGGGUUGUAAAGCUCUUUCACCGGAGAAGAUAAUGACGGUAUCCGGAGAAGAAGCCCCGGCUAACUUCGUGCCAGCAGCCGCGGUAAUACGAAGGGGGCUAGCGUUGUUCGGAAUUACUGGGCGUAAAGCGCACGUAGGCGGAUCGAUCAGUCAGGGGUGAAAUCCCAGGGCUCAACCCUGGAACUGCCUUUGAUACUGUCGAUCUGGAGUAUGGAAGAGGUGAGUGGAAUUCCGAGUGUAGAGGUGAAAUUCGUAGAUAUUCGGAGGAACACCAGUGGCGAAGGCGGCUCACUGGUCCAUUACUGACGCUGAGGUGCGAAAGCGUGGGGAGCAAACAGGAUUAGAUACCCCGGUAGUCCCAU
Molecule: ribosomal RNA, 451 nt
Filed under: uncultured organism
Description: partial 16S ribosomal RNA
Rfam family: Bacterial small subunit ribosomal RNA
Source: RNAcentral